CAAUUACAUUUUAAAAUAUUUUAGAUUAUUACUAAAACAAAAAUUAAGUAUCGAUAAUAGUAUCAGUGAUUUUGCUGAAAUCAAAGAAGUGGAAAUAGGUUUUAUAGAAUUAUUACAUUAUUCUUUAUUACCCUCAUCCUAAAAUUCUGGCCCAAACUCAGAACAUCCAGGUUUACAUUUUAAAACUCAACGUAUCAACAUACGGUUUCUGAACCUCCAUUUUUACUCUUGCCCAGACCUUGCAAUGAUUAGGGGAGGACCUUGUCCUGAGUUUUAUGUGGCCUCCUCAUGGGUGGAUCCAGGGAUUAAAUGACAUUGUCAAGGUAGGAUGGCUGCUGACAGUCCAUUCAUAUACCAGCCUAGUAGAUAAUGGAUCGCAACUGCUGUUAGAUCUUUCUCUGCUACUAAUCCUGCUUGAACCACUUGCUCAUCCCCCAGGCAAAUCAUGGUACUCUGGGGAUGUGGUGCCAUGACCAGACCAGCAGCAUCUUAUCUGCUCCCCUGUACCGGGAAGCUGAGGGUACAUGAAGUGGAGAAGGUGACUGCCUAAAGAUGAUGGUUGUUAAAAUUAAGUCCACCACAUUGGAACCUAAGGUAGGUACUUAUUUUGCAAAUUAAUUUUCUAUUUCCCUCUUAUCAAACUCUUAUUAAUUCUAAUAGUAUUCUGUUGGUUUUUGUUGGCUUCUAGGUAGAGGAUGCUUCAAAUGCAAAUAAAUGAUAAUCUGUCUCCUGCGUUAUAAAAUUUUUAUUAGUAGUAUUUUCCUUUUUUUUCUUCCUUUCUUUUUUGGCCACCCUGCCGCAUAUGGAGUUCCAUGCUAGGGAUCAUAUCCGAACAGCAGUUGAGAUCGAAGCUACAGCUGCAGCAGUGCUGGAUCCUUAACCCACUGCACUGGCUGGGGAUCAAACCUCAAAUAUCCUUAUCUUGUCCCUAGCUUGAACUGGAUCUGCCUUUAGCAUUUCAGCAUUAAAUAUCAUGUUGAUACUGUUUUAACAAAGAUAUCCUUUGCUCUUUCCAGAAUUAUAUGCCUAGUUCUCCCUACCAAUUUUGGGAAAUCCAGAGUUUGUACCAAUGUGGGCACUGCUACUGUAUACGAAUGAUUAAACAACCAAAAAAACCUCCCAAUUGGAUAAACAAACUGCUCUAAACUCAGUCACUGCCAAUCAUGUAAAUUUGAAUGACUGAAUCCCUACUCUAUUCUUCCAAGCCUGAAACAAUCCAAAAGAAAGGCUGUCUAGACACCAAAUGGUGGUCAUAAAUUUCAUCUUCUCUUUUUCUGUUUCCUUUGUUAUUUUUAGUAGAAGUCUAUAAUAAGCACAUAAAUAAGCAUUUGGGAUUUUGUGAGAGACAGCUCAGAUUUUAAGAUUUAUGGCCUUUAUAUUAAGCACUUUGUACAUGUUUAUUUCACAACAAAAAUUUAACAUAAAAUGCCCUUACUAAUGAAGUGAAAAUUUGUUACUACUAGUCAGGAAAAUCAGUGGCAAAAAAAUGGUUUUGUGAUCAUGGCCACAUAAGAGUAAGUGAACUCUGACAAAGUAGGAUGGUAUCUACUUCACUCACCAUUAUAUAUCAUAUAUAUUACUAUGGGCUGGCACAUACUAAGUGCUCAGUAAAUAUCUGAUGAAUUAAAUUGAUUCAAAGAUAUAGAGAACAAUGUCCUGAAGUUGGGUCAUUGCACAAUGGACAUGACAGAAUUCAGGUUCUAUAUAAUUUUAAGAGGAUAUUAAUAGGUAUUUGUGGCCUGGCAGGAAGUAAUGCUUACAGUGCUAGGAAUUUUCUCUGAUUCAAUUCCACUACUAUUUUAAGUAGUAGGCACUAUCAUCAGCUACAUUCAGAAUGCCCAGGUGUUCAGAGAGGUUAAGGAACUUGUACAAACCAUGCUUCAAAUCCAUGCCUUUCCUCCACUCUAGCAUGCUACCUGCUAUAACACAUAAUGUGUGGUUUGUAUUUAUCCCUGACCAGCCAGUCUAAAGGGCUCUGCCUCAUUUACUCUUUCAUCACCCUACCUAUUUCCUUCUAGUAGGUAACAAUAUUUAUGAUGGUCUUGUUUAUUUUUUCCCUUGUCAAUUAUCUGACUCUUGAGAGACGUAUAUUAUCUAACUUGUUCACAGCCACAUCGUGGUGCCUACAACAUAGUAAGUGCUCGAUACUUAUUGAGUGCAUUGAACGAAUGAGUGAAUGAGUUCAUGAGGUGACCUACCAUAAUAUUAGAAGUACCAUAAUACUAGAAGAAGAUUAACUUAGGUAAAGAGAACUACACAGGGUCACCAAACUAUGAAGAGAACUGGCAGCCCAGAAUUUUAAAUUUCAUGUUUAGUUUAUUCUAGUCUCAUACUCCUUGAUUAAAAACCUCCUCUUACUGUUUCAUUAUGGUGCUAUUGUUAUAUGAGGUACUUGAUGAUCAACACUAUAUUCUCUUCCAAAUUCUUUGCACUAAAUGCUUUUUAUUUUUUCUAGAAUUACAAGCACACAAGGAGUAAAAAGCUAUCACGCAGUCCAUUAUCCAGCAUCCAAGCAAAGCCUGGCCCAGAAAACAGAAAAAAAAUUUCAGAUUCAAGUGCAAGUAUUAUUUACACCAGUUCAACUGUGUUAGGAGCCCAGAACUAAGUUGCGAGUUUGGGCUACAGCUUUGCUUUACUCUAUAGUAGCUACAGAGGGUAGCCAACCAAUUAUCUUGAUAUGCAUUUUUGUCCUUAUAAACACUAUAUAAAAUAAAUCAGGUGAAUUAGAAAAAAAUCUCCAUCACUACUGAAUAAACAACUCAAGGAACACACUCCACUCAAGAAUAUAGCGAUCAUUUUAAGAGGUGUUUAUUGGCAGUUUUAAAUGGCCUAAUAAACUUUAUGUUAUGAUAAAAAAAAUCAGUGUAAAAAUUGUAUUUAUACUUCAAUAGAGAAGUGUUAAAUAAAACACUAGUAGGUCUAUGUGACGGAAUUGUAUGUGGCCAACGAAAAUCAUGUUUUAGAAGAUUUAAAGAAGGGAGAAAUGCUUUCAGUUCAUCUUCAUACCAGCCACGGUCCUGCCAGGAAGUAGAUGACAUGCUCAAGCAGGGUGCCUGACAAGACUGACUGCUGAAGAUGAUCUCAUGGCAGGACAAAUGGCCUCCAGGAGAAAAAUGAUGCCACUUCCAACCACAGCCAGGCAAGGAGGGAUCUCCUCUAUCUCCCUCCUGGGUGGAAGGCUGGGUGAGAGAGCCCACUGGUGGAGUCUACAGAGGUCAGCUUCCCAGAAUAGAGCUGGGUGGAGAAGGAUGGAGUGUGGGGCUGGAGGAGCAAAUAGAGAAUACCCAGCAUGGUAUGUAUGCCAAAAAAAAAAUCCGAUUGCAACACAGUAUUACAGUAGAAUUCCAAAUUUGUAAUUGUAUAUAUGGGUCAGAUUCCCUGUCAACAGUCUAAGCUGUGCAUGCAGGAAGUUUGCUGUCCAGUGCUCUUGGGAAUGGUGGUUGUGAGUGGGGAGGGAAGAAGGACUGGCAGAGCAGGAGGAUGAACCAUAAAGCAAUUACAACAGAGGCCAUGGCCAUUCCUAGAUAGAACUCUGGAACUAGGAUGGCCCUCCAGAGUCGUCCCAAUUGAGGCAAGAAGGCUGGGCUUCUGGUAGUCCCUCAACAACCAGUUAUUGAACACAGACUGCCCUGUGAGGUCAAGGGCAAUGCCUGAAUAGGGCCAUUAGCAGCUAACACUGCCAGCACCAAGAGAGUGUGUCAUCCUGAAAAGGGAAGGGGAGGGAAGCCACAAUGACUGCUAAGAUAGCACUUCACCAUGGUUGACUGGGUCAUAGAGUUAUUGUUAUUCUCCUGCUUUGUUUUUAAUACUUGUACAUUGUUCCAAAUGCUCUUUAAUAUAGGAGACAAUUGGCAAUCUUUAUCACAAUAUGUAUUAGUUUGAUCAUCAGUAAAUUUAUAGUAAAAAAUGGAAAAUAGUUGUUAUUGCUUGGUAAUCAGCAUACUGCAUACUCCUACAAGACUUAGAACAAACUUUUUUCCCCUGUAAUUCUAAGUCCCACUGCGAUGCAGAUAUAUAUGUGAGAAGGUUGGUACCCUUGGCUACACAUUCCAAAGAAUGACUAAGGGCUGAAGCCAGAGGUUCCCGUCAUGAUGUCUGGUAGUACUUCAGUAUAAUCAAUGUGAGAUUAAGUAGAUACCAGUUAGUUUAACUUUUAAUGCUAGGGUGGUUAGGUAAACUUGCUGUUAGGAUUCAUAACAGAGUGGUGAGCUGGCAUUACAUAAAAAAAAAACCAAGAUUCCAGAGCAUCUUCUACAAAUCUUUCAGAUCAACAAAUGACACUUUGCAAACUAUUAAUUUUUUUUUUUUUUUGGCCAAGCCCAUGGUAUUCAGAAGUUUCCAGGUAAGGAAUCAAACCCUUGCCAUAGCAGUGACCAAGCCACAGCAGUGACAGGGCUGGAUCAGUAACUGCAGAGCUACCAGGGUACUCCUUGCUAUUUUAUUAAAAAUUGGAUUUUGUUGGUCCAUCAGUGACUUAUUAAUCAAAACAAUAUGUUCAAAAUACAUUGGAGUUCUCUUGUGGCACAGGGUUUAAGAAUUUGGCAUUGUCACUGCAGCAGCUAAGGUCGCUGCUGUGACAUGGUUCAAUCCCAGGCUCAGGAACUUCCAUGUGCUGUGGACACAGCUAAAAAAGGGGGAAAAACUAUUACUGGUGAAAUUAAAAAUAGUCAAAAUAUAACUGUAAUGUAUACAUGUAAGGAUAACCUGACCGCCUUGCUGUACAGUGGGAAAAUAAAAAAAAUUAUUGAAAAAAAAAUAGUCAAAAUAUGUAGAUUGGGUUAAAUGAUUUAGAAACACCCCUCAAUCCCUGAAAAAACAUAAGAAUCCAGCAAACUAUGACAUGUAGUAUUAGAGGUAACAUUAGAGGUUCGAUUCUUUACUUGGUCCCUUAUUUAGCUACUGGUUUCAUAGUUCUGACUUCCUAAUCUUUCUCCCCCAGAAUGCCAUUGUCUGUCUUCAAUGAAUUUUGCAUACAAAAGGAAGUGUAAGCACUUAAAAGAAUUACACAAAGCAAUAGGAUACCUGUGAGGUUACAGAAAAUUUGAGCUACACUUGCCACUUACUUAUGAAUGCUUGAUUAAUAAAUGCCUUUUGUGUCCCUGAAUUUUGCCUGAAACCUGUUUUUAUUUUUAUCUGGUAGCAAGUUUGUGAGAGAGUAGCCAAACUCAGCACUUCCUACAUACUAUUAUCAUUUACAUUAUUCCCCAAAAAUGACCUGAGUCAUGCAUGCCUGAAUUGCCUUAGGCUCAUUUUGCAACAUGUACUCUGCUACCCAGGCCAAAUACAGAGGAUAUCAAAUGAGAUACUAUUCCUAUCCUUCCAGAACAGUCUACUGAUUCAGAAUUGAUUUACAAGGAGUUCCCGCCUCAGUGGUUAAUGAAUCCAACUAGCAACCAUGAGGAUGCAGGUUCUAUCCCUGGCCUUACUAAGUAGGUUAAGGAUUCGGCAUUGCCAUGAGCUAUCAUGUAGGUCACAGAUGUGACUCAGAUCCUGAGUUGCUGUGGUUUAGGUCAGCGGCUACAGCUCCAAUUUGACCCCUAGCCUGGGAACCUCCACGUGCCGUGUGUGUGGCCCUGAAAAAAAGACAAAACAACAACAAAAAUUGAUUUAUAAGAAUAUAGUCACAUCCCAUUUCUAGGAGUAAGUGUAUUACAUUUUUCAUGUAAUAAUUCCCCUUUCACUCUACUAAUUCAUUACAAGAUGCUGGUAUUAAGUUCUGGCCAAUUCUUUAUCGGAUGUCCACAAACUACAGUCUGCAGGCCAGAUCUGGGCAGCCACCUGCUUUUGUACAGCCCCAAAGCUAAAACAGUUUUGAUGUAUUAAGACAGGAAAAAUGAAAAGAAUAUUCAUGGCAUAUAAAAGUUUUCUGUAAUUCAGAUUUCAGUGUCCAUAAAUAAAGGUUUAUUGGAACACAACUUCGUUCACUAGUUGACAUAAUCAUUUAUGGCUGCGUUUAUGCUACAAUGAGCAAGCUGAGUAGCUGUGACUGAGACUGAGGCAGGAGAUAGAUGGGUCCCAGGCUGAACAAUGCAAUCUGUCCUCUAUGGACAGAUACUCUGAGAUAAAGAUUACAGCUGGAGCAUGGAGGAGGUGCAUCCUGCUUGGAUUAAAGAUAAAGAGACCACAUAUUUUUCAUUCUUGAGGUCAAGGAGACCUCCCAAAUUACACAUGCACAGAAAGGUGUCAUAGAAGGCAGGGGGUGCCUGUCAACUUCCCAGAAACCCUUGCACUAGAAUUCAUCCUGGCUAAAAGAUGCACAUGUACAGAGGGGAGAGCCCUGAGUCAGGCCAAAUAUGGACUAAAGCAAGAUGACUGGCCAGAAGAAGCCUGGAAAGACUGCUCCUGUAUGAGUGAUUUAAACCAUCCCCAAAGCACAUGGCACUUUUUCUUUUCCUCUGUCUCCCUCCCCCCAGUCCCAGGCCACCUGUGCUUUCUUUGCACCUCUCUUCUCUCAUAAUAAACACUUUGUCUCACUACUCUCAGUCUCUUUCCCCAAAGGGACAAAGACUAGGGACCUAUAUCAAGCCUGACGGCACCUGAGGUCUAGUACUUAGGGUUCGGUACUCUUAACCCGUAGUCACCCCAAAUCAAGACUAUUAGGC
RNAcentral lists this long non-coding RNA (6602 nucleotides) under Sus scrofa (pig). Its description in RNAcentral is "lncRNA (ENSSSCG00035006695.1)". The record is from RNAcentral. Lineage: Eukaryota; Metazoa; Chordata; Mammalia; Artiodactyla; Suidae.